Molecule: ribosomal RNA, 510 nt
Filed under: uncultured bacterium
Lineage: Bacteria
Description: partial 16S ribosomal RNA
Rfam family: Bacterial small subunit ribosomal RNA
Source: RNAcentral
GACGAACGCUGGCGGCGUGCUUAACACAUGCAAGUCGAACGAAGAGCGAUGGAAGCUUGCUUCUAUCAAUCUUAGUGGCGAACGGGUGAGUAACGCGUAAUCAACCUGCCCUUCAGAGGGGGACAACAGUUGGAAACGACUGCUAAUACCGCAUACGAUCUAAUCUCGGCAUCGAGGAAAGAUGAAAGGUGGCCUCUAUUUAUAAGCUAUCACUGAAGGAGGGGACCGCGUCUGAUUAGCUAGUUGGAGGGGUAACGGCCCACCAAGGCGAUGAUCAGUAGCCGGUCUGAGAGGAUGAACGGCCACAUUGGGACUGAGACACGGCCCAGACUCCUACGGGAGGCAGCAGUGGGGAAUCUUCCGCAAUGGACGAAAGUCUGACGGAGCAACGCCGCGUGAGUGAUGACGGCCUUCGGGUUGUAAAGCUCUGUUAAUCGGGACGAAAGGCCUUCUUGCGAACAGUUAGAAGGAUUGACGGUACCGGAAUAGAAAGCCACGGCUAACUACGUG